UUUAUGGGCUUGGAGUGGAUGCCUCUACACCAGUGAAUAGGACGUGUAAAUACGAAAGGCUGUUUUGUUAGGUUUAUUCAAAACAGAUUUCCUACAGGAAACAAAAAAAAUAAAAGAAAACUGGAAAUGGAAACCUCCUUUACCAGUAUAAAAAUCAACAGAGAAACCGAUAGUAGUGGCGAACGAACUUGGUCUUAUUUUUUCUUUUUAUCAAUACGCUCUUAUGCGUUCUUUAUAGAAGCAUUAGAAUUCUAUAAAAAUUUUUUUUAUGUGUUCCUUG
RNAcentral lists this ribosomal RNA (280 nucleotides) under Tetradesmus obliquus. Its description in RNAcentral is "23S rRNA". Lineage: Eukaryota; Viridiplantae; Chlorophyta; Chlorophyceae; Sphaeropleales; Scenedesmaceae. The record is from RNAcentral.